This is a non-coding RNA of Salmo salar (Atlantic salmon), 1185 nucleotides long. The record is from RefSeq and is a predicted model, not a curated record. NCBI's taxonomy places the organism in Eukaryota, Metazoa, Chordata, Actinopteri, Salmoniformes, Salmonidae.
UUCCCUGCAUUAAAGUCUCAGGCCACUAGGAGCGCCGCCUCUGGGUGAGUGGUUUCCUGUUUGCUUAUUUCCUUAAUACAGCUCACUGAGUGUGGUCUUAUUGCCAGCAUCUGUCUGUGGUGGUAAAUAAACAGCCACGAAAAGUAUAGCUGAGAAUUCUCUAGGCAAGUAGUUUGGCCUGCAAUUUAUCACAAUAUAAUCCGCUUCAGGCGAGAGACUUCCUUAGAUUUCGUGCACCAGCUGUUUACAAAUAUGCACAGACCGCCCCCACUUGUCUUAUCGGAGUGUGCUGUUCGAUCUUGCCAGUCCAGCGUGUAUCCCGCUAGCUGAAUAUCCAUGUCGUCAUUCAGCCACGAUUACGUGAAACAUAGGAUAUUACCGUUUUUGAUGUCCCGUUAGUAGGAUAUUCGUGAUCGUACCUCGUCUAAUUUAUUGUCCAAUGAUUGCGCGUUGGCGUGUAGUAUUGACGGUAAAGGCAGCUUUCCCAGUCGCCUUCGCCAGGUCCUGACUAGGCAUCCGGCUCUUUGUCCUCUGUACCUGUGUCGCUUCCUCAUGCAAAUAAUGGGGAUGCCGGUCCUGUGGGGUGUUUGGAGAAUGUCUUGUGCGUCGUCUUUGUUAUAGAAAAAAUCAUCGUCUAAUCCGAGUACAUGUUCAGUGGUGGAAGAGACCCUCUGGAGUUGCUGCAGUGUGUCUGGGGCUGCUGUGUGUUCUCCUACUGGCUGGGAUCAUAGGCCUGUCUGUCUACUAUGGAGUCAUUGAUCAUCACGACUCAACAGAGAGAGACCAGCAACAGGACAGCAACAGCCUUCUGACUAAGGAGAGAGACCAGCUACAGACCAGUUACAACAACCUGACUAAAGAGAGAGGCAAAGCUUUUUGUGAUAGGUGAGAUAUAAACUGUGAUAAAUUAGAAGUAAAAUCAACAGUAAUUAUAUAUCAAUGGGUUUAUGAAGAUACUGGCUAUGUGUCACGUCCUGACCAGUUUAAGGGGUUAUUUGUUAUUGUAGUUUGGUCAGGGCGUGGCAGGGUGUGUUUGGUUUGUGUUGUUGGGAUUUUGGGGUUAGUUGUAUGGUCUUUAUAUUUUUACGUUCCCUUCUAGGAGUUGUAUUUCUUUGUUUUGGCCUGGUAUGGCUCUCAAUCAGGGACAGCUGUACAUCGUUGUCACUGAUUGGGAGUCAUACUUAG